CACCUCACAGCUAGCCUAACUCAAAAUUCAACAAAUAAAUAUAAAUAACCCCUCACUUACCAACAAAUCACAACCAAACCAUUUUACAUCUUAGUAUCGGCGAGAGAAAAGAAUUAAUUAGCGCUAUAGAGAUAGUACCGCAAGGGAAAGCUGAAAGAGAAAUGAAAUAAAUAACAAAGUUAAGCAAAGCAGAGGUUCAACCUCGUACCUUUUGCAUCAUGAAUCAGCCAGAAAAUUCUAGCAAAGAGCCCUCUAGUUAGAACCCCCGAAACCGAGUGAGCUACUCCAAGACAGCCUGUUAGCAGGGCAAACCCGUCUCUGUGGCAAAAGAGUGGGAAGAGCUUUGAGUAGAGGUGAUAGACCUACCGAACCCGGUCAUAGCUGGUUGUCUGCAAAAUGAAUAGAAGUUCAGCCUCGCAUAACUCUUAGCCAAAUAAGCAAUGCCUGUAUUGCCAACAGAGUACACUGCGGGAGUUAGUCAACAGGGGUACAGCCCUAUUGACAAAGAAUACAACCUUAGCCACAGGGUAAAGAUUAUAUUUAACCAAGGCACGAUGUUUAAGUGGGCCUAAGAGCAGCCACCUAAAAAGAAAGCGUUAAAGCUCAACCAUCCAACAGCCAUUAAUCCUAAUAAACAAAUCCUAACCCGUGUAAUUUUAGCAGACUAUCCUAUGCAACCAUAGAAACAACUAUGCUGAUAUGAGUAAUAAGAGAGCAAGACUCUCUCCUAGCACAAGUGUAUGUCGGAACGAACUCACACCGAAAACUAACGAACUCAAAACCAGAGAGCCAGGGGCCAUACACAGAAAACAAGAAAAACACCCCAGUACAACACCGUUAAUUUCACACAAACGUGCUUGCAAGGAAAGACUUAAAGGGAGAGAAGGAACUCGGCAAACACAAGCCUCGCCUGUUUACCAAAAACAUCGCCUCUUGUAAUAACAAAAAUAAGAGGUCCAGCCUGCCCUGUGACCAAAAGUUUAACGGCCGCGGUAUUUUGACCGUGCGAAGGUAGCGCAAUCACUUGUCUUUUAAAUGAAGACCUGUAUGAAUGGCAUAACGAGGGCUUAGCUGUCUCCUUUCCCCAGUCAAUGAAAUUGAUCUCCCCGUGCAGAAGCGGGGAUUAACCCAUAAGACGAGAAGACCCUAUGGAGCUUUAGACCACGAAGCAGAUUAAGUCAAUACCCUUAAAUACAAGAAUAAACUAAAUAAAACCUGCUCACAUGUCUUUGGUUGGGGCGACCACGGGAAAAAAAGUAACUCCCGCGUGGAAUGGAAACACCUUUCUACAGUCAAGAGUGACAACUCUAAUAAACAGAACUUCUGACCUUAACGAUCCGGCACCGCCGAUCAACGAACCGAGUUACCCUAGGGAUAACAGCGCAAUCCUCUUAUAGAGUCCAUAUCGACAAGAGGGUUUACGACCUCGAUGUUGGAUCAGGGUAUCCUAAUGGUGCAGCCGCUAUUAAGGGUUCGUUUGUUCAACGAUUAAAACCCUACGUGAUCUGAGUUCAGACCGGAGUAAUCCAGGUCAGUUUCUAUCUAUGAAAUGACUUUCUCUAGUACGAAAGGACCGAAAAAGUGAGGCCCAUGCUUAAAGCACGCCUCUUCUCCACCUAAUGAAAUCAACUAAAAUAGAUAAAGAGACAUAAACCUGCCUCUAAGAAUAUGAUAU
Molecule: ribosomal RNA, 1675 nt
Filed under: Eurypegasus draconis (short dragonfish)
Lineage: Eukaryota; Metazoa; Chordata; Actinopteri; Syngnathiformes; Pegasidae
Description: 16S rRNA
Rfam family: Bacterial large subunit ribosomal RNA (bases 100-1566)
Source: RNAcentral